UACGUAGGUGACUAGCGUUGUCCGGAUUUACUGGGCGUAAAGAGCGCGCAGGCGGUCGUUCAAGUCGAGUGUGAAAGCCCCCGGCUCAACUGGGGAGGGUCACUUGAUACUGAUCGACUCGAAGGCAGGAGAGGGAAGCGGAAUUCCCGGUGUAGUGGUGGAAUGCGUAGAUAUCGGGAGGAACACCAGUGGCGAAGGCGGUUGCCUGGAGCUUUGCUGACGCUGAGGCGCGAAAGCGUGGGGAGCGAUCCGG
RNAcentral lists this ribosomal RNA (253 nucleotides) under uncultured bacterium. RNAcentral's name for it is "partial 16S ribosomal RNA". It matches the Rfam family "Bacterial small subunit ribosomal RNA", at positions 524 to 776 of the family's 1533-position model. The record is from RNAcentral.